RNAcentral lists this non-coding RNA (24 nucleotides) under Mus musculus (house mouse). Lineage: Eukaryota; Metazoa; Chordata; Mammalia; Rodentia; Muridae. The record is from RNAcentral.
UGUCUGCCGCACCAGUCUUUAGGC